Molecule: ribosomal RNA, 468 nt
Filed under: uncultured Anoxybacillus sp.
Lineage: Bacteria; Bacillati; Bacillota; Bacilli; Caryophanales; Anoxybacillaceae
Description: bacterial SSU rRNA
Rfam family: Bacterial small subunit ribosomal RNA
Source: RNAcentral
GACGGGGCCGCACAAGCGGUGGAGCAUGUGGUUUAAUUCGAAGCAACGCGAAGAACCUUACCAGGUCUUGACAUCCCUGACAACCCGAGAGAUCGGGCGUUCCCCUUCGGGGGACAGGGUGACAGGUGGUGCAUGGUUGUCGUCAGCUCGUGUCGUGAGAUGUUGGGUUAAGUCCCGCAACGAGCGCAACCCUCGACCUUAGUUGCCAGCAUUCAGUUGGGCACUCUAAGGUGACUGCCGGCUAAAAGUCGGAGGAAGGUGGGGAUGACGUCAAAUCAUCAUGCCCCUUAUGACCUGGGCUACACACGUGCUACAAUGGGCGGUACAAAGGGUCGCGAACCCGCGAGGGGGAGCCAAUCCCAAAAAGCCGCUCUCAGUUCGGAUUGCAGGCUGCAAUUCGCCUGCAUGAAGUCGGAAUCGCUAGUAAUCGCAGGUCAGCAUACUGCGGUGAAUACGUUCCCGGGCCUU